This 3922-nucleotide small RNA is filed under the name Pan troglodytes (chimpanzee). Its description in RNAcentral is "retained intron". The record is from RNAcentral. Lineage: Eukaryota; Metazoa; Chordata; Mammalia; Primates; Hominidae.
GUGUGCCUGACCCUCACAGCCAAGCGCAUGGCACGGAAGAACUGCCUGGUGAAGAACCUGGAGGCGGUGGAGACGCUGGGCUCCACGUCCACCAUCUGCUCAGACAAGACGGGCACCCUCACCCAGAACCGCAUGACCGUCGCCCACAUGUGGUUUGAUAUGACCGUGUAUGAGGCCGACACCACUGAAGAACAGACUGGAAAAACAUUUACCAAGAGCUCUGAUACCUGGUUUAUCCUGGCCCGAAUCGCUGGCCUCUGCAACCGGGCUGACUUUAAGGCUAAUCAGGAGAUCCUGCCCAUUGCUAAGAGGGCCACAACAGGUGAUGCUUCCGAGUCAGCCCUCCUCAAGUUCAUCGAGCAGUCUUACAGCUCUGUGGCGGAGAUGAGAGAGAAAAACCCCAAGGUGGCAGAGAUUCCCUUUAAUUCUACCAACAAGUACCAGGUACAGAACCCACAAAGGCGACCUAGCGGGCAUUUCCUGUCCAUCACAAGAGGAACCCCAUGGAGAGCUCCUUUUCAUACAUCAGAGAUCAAGAGGAAAUGCAAAACCCACAUUUCUCUCUCCUUGCUGCGGGUUGUCCCCUCGGGUUCAUUUCAUGAAUGUGCCCUUUCCCUCCCCCACCACAGCCACAAGGACUCCCAUGCCCAACCACACUAGCUAGCCCCUCUCAGGAGACUUCUCACGCUUUUAGGAGACAGAGGCCCAGGGACUAGAAUGACUAACUUAUUUUUGGAUUGUACUUCACAGUUUUCAAAGUAUUUUCUACACUAUCUCUUAUAAAAACCCAAUGAAGGGCCAGGUGUGGUGGCUCAUGCCUGUAAUCCCAGCAGUUUGGGAGGCCAAGGUGGGCAGAUCACCUUAGGUCAGGAAUUCAAGACCAGGCUGACCAACAUGGUGAAACCCCCAUCUCUGCUAAAAAUGCAAAAAAUCAGCCAGGCAUAGUGGCGGUGCCUGUAAUCCCAGCAGUUUCCGAGGCCAAGGUUGGUAGAUCACCUGAGGUCAGGAGUUCAAAACCAGCCUGACCAGCAUGGUGAAACCCCCCGUCUCUGCUAAAAAUGCAAAAAAUCAGCCCGGCAUAGUGGCGGUGCCUGUAAUUCCAGCUACUCGGGAGGCUGAAGCAGGAGAAUCACUUGAACCCAGAGGCAGAGGUUGCAGUGAGCUGAGAUCACACCACUGCACUCCAGCCUGGGCAACAGAGUGAGACUCCAUCUUCAAAAACAAAAACAAAACAUGACAAAAAACCCCAUGAAGGAGGCAAGGCAGAGGCUUUUAUGUUUUGUCGAAGGAACUAAGAUUUUGCGAAGUUAAAUGGACUGACCUGAGGUCAUAAAGCAUUCUUGCUAGCCCCAGAACACAGGUCUUUGGACUUUUUUUUUUUUUUUUUUUUUUUUUUUGAGAUGGCGUCUGGCUCUGUCACCCAGGCUAGAGUGCAAUAGUGCAAUCUUGGCUCACUGCAACCUCUGCUUCCAGGGUUCCAGCGAUUCUCCUGCCUUAGCCUCCCAAGUGGCUGGGAUUACGGGCACAUGCCACCAUGCCCAGCUAAUUUUUGUAUUUUUAGUAGAGACGGGGUUUUGCCAUGCUGGCCAGGCUAGUCUUGAACUCCUGACCUCAAGCAAUCCACCCACCUCGGCCUCCCAAAGUGCUGGGAUUACAGGCAUGAGCCGCUACGCCUGGCCUUCAGACUCUUUUUCUUUCCUGUCUACUCUCUUUUCUUUCUUUGCCAGCCCCACUAUUUCUGCUGUCUCGCCAUCCAGUUGGCAAGGAUGCAGGGGAAAAGUGAGAGUGCCUGGUUCUGCCCCCAGGGAGCUUCAGGCUGAGAAGAUAAUAGAGAUUCCUGUGCAAAUAAUACCAGGCUGCAGUUUCCUGGAAAAAGGAGGAGGGGCUGGGCUCAACCUGGGGCGAGAUGUGCAUGGGGAGGGGAGGGAAUAAAAGAAAUGGGGGUAUGAAACACAUUUUUUUGCCUUUGAAACCUUCCCCUUCUUUUUGCCCCUGAUCCUUGGUCUCUCCUCCUGUCCCAUCAGUGCUCCCUCUGCUCUCCCUAGAUGUCCAUCCACCUUCGGGAGGACAGCUCCCAGACCCACGUACUGAUGAUGAAGGGUGCUCCGGAGAGGAUCUUGGAGUUUUGUUCUACCUUUCUUCUGAAUGGGCAGGAGUACUCAAUGAACGAUGAAAUGAAGGAAGCCUUCCAAAAUGCCUAUCUAGAACUGGGAGGUCUGGGGGAACGUGUGCUAGGCUUCUGCUUCUUGAAUCUGCCUAGCAGCUUCUCCAAGGGAUUCCCAUUUAAUACAGAUGAAAUAAAUUUCCCCAUGGACAACCUUUGUUUUGUGGGCCUCAUAUCCAUGAUUGACCCUCCCCGAGCUGCAGUGCCUGAUGCUGUGAGCAAGUGUCGCAGUGCAGGAAUUAAGGUGAUCAUGGUAACAGGAGAUCAUCCCAUUACAGCUAAGGCCAUUGCCAAGGGUGUGGGCAUCAUCUCAGAAGGCACUGAGACGGCAGAGGAAGUUGCUGCCCGGCUUAAGAUCCCUAUCAGCAAGGUCGAUGCCAGUGCUGCCAAAGCCAUUGUGGUGCAUGGUGCAGAACUAAAGGACAUACAGUCCAAGCAGCUUGAUCAGAUCCUCCAGAACCACCCUGAGAUCGUGUUUGCUCGGACCUCCCCUCAGCAGAAGCUCAUCAUUGUCGAGGGAUGUCAGAGGCUGGGAGCCGUUGUGGCCGUGACAGGUGACGGGGUGAACGACUCCCCUGCGCUGAAGAAGGCUGACAUUGGCAUUGCCAUGGGCAUCUCUGGCUCUGACGUCUCUAAGCAGGCAGCCGACAUGAUCCUGCUGGAUGACAACUUUGCCUCCAUCGUCACGGGGGUGGAGGAGGGCCGCCUGAUCUUUGACAACCUGAAGAAAUCCAUCAUGUACACCCUGACCAGCAACAUCCCCGAGAUCACGCCCUUCCUGAUGUUCAUCAUCCUCGGUAUACCCCUGCCUCUGGGAACUAUAACCAUCCUCUGCAUUGAUCUCGGCACUGACCUGGUCCCUGCCAUCUCCUUGGCUUAUGAGUCAGCUGAAAGCGACAUCAUGAAGAGGCUUCCAAGGAACCCAAAGACGGAUAAUCUGGUGAACCACCGUCUCAUUGGCAUGGCCUAUGGACAGAUUGGGAUGAUCCAGGCUCUGGCUGGAUUCUUUACCUACUUUGUAAUCCUGGCUGAGAAUGGUUUUAGGCCUGUUGAUCUGCUGGGCAUCCGCCUCCACUGGGAAGAUAAAUACUUGAAUGACCUGGAGGACAGCUACGGACAGCAGUGGACCUAUGAGCAACGAAAAGUUGUGGAGUUCACAUGCCAAACGGCCUUUUUUGUCACCAUCGUGGUUGUGCAGUGGGCGGAUCUCAUCAUCUCCAAGACUCGCCGCAACUCACUUUUCCAGCAGGGCAUGAGAAACAAAGUCUUAAUAUUUGGGAUCCUGGAGGAGACACUCUUGGCUGCAUUUCUGUCCUACACUCCAGGCAUGGACAUGGCCCUGCGAAUGUACCCACUCAAGAUAACCUGGUGGCUCUGUGCCAUUCCCUACAGUAUUCUCAUCUUCAUCUAUGAUGAAAUCAGAAAACUCCUCAUCCGUCAGCACCCAGAUGGCUGGGUGGAAAGGGAGACGUACUACUAAACUCAGCAGAUGAAGAGCUUCAUGUGACACAGGGGUGUUGUGAGAGCUGGGAUGGGGUCAGAGAUUAUAAGUUUGACACAACAUCUGAGACACUAGGAUGAAUUAUCUUGGAUGAGAAAGAUGGGCAAUCCUGGGCUGGCUUGAGGGAAUCAUGGGCAGAGGAUGAGGUGGGCUGAAGGGAAGCCCAGCCUGCAUCUAGCUGGAGCCCCGCAGGGAGGGGCAUGGUCCUGCUGAAUCCCGUAGCCAGUCUAGACAGUAAAUGUCUGGAAAAGCCCUCA